Molecule: long non-coding RNA, 581 nt
Organism: Rhododendron vialii
Lineage: Eukaryota; Viridiplantae; Streptophyta; Magnoliopsida; Ericales; Ericaceae
Exons: 3
Source: RefSeq, a predicted model, not a curated record
CUCUCUCUCUCUCUCUCUCUCUCUCUCUCUCUCUCUCUCUCACCUCUCCUCCAAACUUCUCUCUUCGAUUUCAUCUCCUUAGAAUGAGAUUUCGGAAAAAUCUCAAGGAGUAAAGUUGUUCUACGUGACGAGAUCUUCCUAUCGAUCCAAGAAGAAUCAUGAUCGGAGCACUUUGAGGUUUCCUCCAUGUCCGGGCUUGCUUCUAACCUUUGAGGCACCCGCCUUGGCACUUAGCUUGGAUUGCAUGGAGUGCACUUUGAGACGUCUUUGAGUAGCUUCAUUGGAAUCAUUAAGGAGUUGUUUAUCAUCAAGUUUAAAUCAUGUCGUGUACUUGUCUUGCGAUUGAAGAUUGUACCUUUUGGUUAUAAAAUAUGGAUAAACUCCUUUCCUUGAUUAUUGUGAAGCCCCUUUCAAUGAAAGACGUUUGGGAGACUAUGUAAAAAAAAAAAAAUUAAGAGAGAAGAAGAAGAAUAGACUUUGAUUCUUUGUUUGGUUUGGCAUGACAUUUAAGGGUAAAUAUAAUUGAGGGAAAGACUUUUGUUUGUAGAAAAUGUAUUAUUAUUUUGUUGAAAAUUGAGGAC